CCUACGGGGGGCAGCAGUGGGGAAUAUUGGGCAAUGGGCGCAAGCCUGACGCAGCAACGCCGCGUGAAGGAAGAAGGCUUUCGGGUUGUAAACUUCUAUUCUCAGGGACGAAGCAAGCGACGGUACCUGAGGAAUCAGCCACGGCUAACUACGUGCCAGCAGCCGCGGUAAGACGUAGGGGGCAAGCGUUAUCCGGAUUUACUGGGUGUAAAGGGCGUGUAGGCGGGGACGCAAGUCAGAUGUGAAAACCACGGGCUCAACCUGUGGCCUGCAUUUGAAACUGUGUUUCUGGAGUAUUGGAGAGGCAGACGGAAGUCCUAGUGUAGCGGUGAAAUGCGUAGAUAUUAGGAGGAACACCAGUGGCGAAGGCGGUCUGCUGGACAGCAACUGACGCUGAGGCGCGAAAGCGUGGGGAGCAAACAGGAUUAGAUACCCUGGUAGUC
RNAcentral lists this ribosomal RNA (443 nucleotides) under uncultured bacterium. RNAcentral describes it as "partial 16S ribosomal RNA". It matches the Rfam family "Bacterial small subunit ribosomal RNA", at positions 338 to 795 of the family's 1533-position model. The record is from RNAcentral.